RNAcentral lists this ribosomal RNA (408 nucleotides) under uncultured Alphaproteobacteria bacterium. Its description in RNAcentral is "bacterial SSU rRNA". It matches the Rfam family "Bacterial small subunit ribosomal RNA", at positions 44 to 497 of the family's 1533-position model. The record is from RNAcentral. Lineage: Bacteria; Pseudomonadati; Pseudomonadota; Alphaproteobacteria.
AGGCUUAAUACAUGCAAGUCGAGCGGUCUCUUUCGGGAGACAGCGGCGGACGGGUUAGUAACGCGUGGGAACGUGCCCUUUAGUACGGAAUAGCCAUUGGAAACGAUGAUUAAUACCGUAUACGCCCUAUGGGGGAAAGAUUUAUCGCUAAAGGAUCGGCCCGCGUUAGAUUAGGUUGUUGGUGGGGUAAUGGCCUACCAAGCCUACGAUCUAUAGCUGGUUUGAGAGGAUGAUCAGCAACACUGGGACUGAGACACGGCCCAGACUUCUACGGAAGGCAGCAGUAGGGAAUCUUGGACAAUGGGCGAAAGCCUGAUCCAGCCAUGCCGCGUGAGUGAUGAAGGCCCUAGGGUUGUAAAACUCUUUCGCCAGGGAAGAUAAUGACGGUACCGGUAAAGAAACCCCGGC